This 778-nucleotide ribosomal RNA is filed under the name uncultured Neocallimastigales. Its description in RNAcentral is "partial large subunit ribosomal RNA". It matches the Rfam family "Eukaryotic large subunit ribosomal RNA", at positions 23 to 638 of the family's 3401-position model. The record is from RNAcentral. Lineage: Eukaryota; Fungi; Neocallimastigomycota; Neocallimastigomycetes; Neocallimastigales.
GAGACUCUGUGCGCGUGCAUAUCAAUAAGCGGAGGAAAAGAAACUAACAAGGAUUCCCUUAGUAACGGCGAGUGAAGCGGGAAGAGCUCAAAUUUGAAAUCUUCAAGGGUUCUACCUUUACGAAUUGUAGUUUAUAGAAGUGUUUUCUGUUAGUGAGUUCGGCUAAAAGUUCUUUGGAAUAGGACAUCAUAGAGGGUGAGAAUCCCGUAUUUGACCGUUACUUUCCAGCUGUGUGAUACACUUUCAAAGAGUCGGAUUGUUUGGGAAUGCAGUCCAAGAUGGGUGGUAAAUUUCAUCUAAAGCUAAAUAUUGGCGAGAGACCGAUAGCGAACAAGUACCGUGAUGGAAAGAUGAAAAGAACUUUGAAAAGAGAGUUAAACAGUACGUGAAAUUGUCAAAAGGGAAGCGUUUGACACCAGUGUUGUUUAGUUGAAAAUCAAUUCAAUAGUUUUUGAUUCUAAGUAGUACUGACUUCAUCAGCUUGCUGCUUUCUUCUCAGAAAUUAUUGAAUGCACUUUUCAGUUAACAAGUCAACAUCAAUUUCUUUUGUUGUAAAAGGGUAAGAGGAAGGUGGCUUGCGCUUCGGCUCAAGUGUUUAUAGCCUUUUAUCUCUGCAAUCGGAGAGAUUGAGGUCUGCAGCGUAGAUCCUUCGGGGUUAGAUACAUUGGUGCUAAGCUAUAGCCUUGUAUAGACAACUUGUUGACUAUGCUCAGUCAUGUAGCUUACUCGCUGAUGCUAUUUUACCUACGCUUAGGAUGUUGACAGCAGUAUAGACUGU